Molecule: transfer RNA, 64 nt
Filed under: Platyptilia sp. DM741
Lineage: Eukaryota; Metazoa; Arthropoda; Insecta; Lepidoptera; Pterophoridae
Description: tRNA-Thr
Rfam family: tRNA
About the family: Transfer RNA (tRNA) molecules are approximately 80 nucleotides in length. Their secondary structure includes four short double-helical elements and three loops (D, anti-codon, and T loops).
Source: RNAcentral
GUUUUUAUAGUUUAAAUUAAAACAUUGGUCUUGUAAACCAAAAUUAAGUGUUUCUUUAAAAACU